GUAACGGCGAGUGAAGCGGCAACAGCUCAAAUUUGAAAUCUGGCCCCCCCGACCGCGGGGGCCCGAGUUGUAAUUUGCAGAGGAUGCUUUCGGCGCGGCGCCUUCCGAGUUCCCUGGAACGGGACGCCACAGAGGGUGAGAGCCCCGUACGGUCGGACGCCCAGCCACUGUAAAGCUCCCUCGACGAGUCGAGUAGUUUGGGAAUGCUGCUCUAAACGGGAGGUAUAUGUCUUCUAAAGCUAAAUACUGGCCAGAGACCGAUAGCGCACAAGUAGAGUGAUCGAAAGAUGAAAAGCACUUUGGAAAGAGAGUUAAACAGCACGUGAAAUUGUUGAAAGGGAAGCGCUCGAGACCAGACUUGGGCCCGGGGGAUCAUCCGGCGUUCUCGCCGGUGCACUCCGCCGGGCCCAGGCCAGCAUCAGUUCGCCGCGGGGGACAAAGGCGCCGGGAACGUGGCUCCCCACGGGGAGUGUUAUAGCCCGGCGCGCAAUGCCCCGCGCGCGGACUGAGGCACGCGCUCCGCAAGGAUGCUGGCGUAAUGGUCCCCAGCGACCCGUCUUGAAACACGGACCAAGGAGUCGUCCUCGUAUGCGAGUGUUCGGGCGUCAAACCCCUACGCGUAAUGAAAGUGAGCGCAGGUGAGAGCUUCGGCGCACCACCGACCGAUCCCGAUGGCCCGCCCGGACGGAUUUGAGUAGGAGCAUACGGGGCCGGACCCGAAAGAAGGUGAACUAUGCCUGUAUAGGGUGAAGCCAGAGGAAACUCUGGUGGAGGCUCGCAGCGGUUCUGACGUGCAAAUCGAUCGUCAAAUAUGGGCAUGGGGGCGAA
This 828-nucleotide ribosomal RNA is filed under the name Paraisaria gracilis. Its description in RNAcentral is "partial 28S ribosomal RNA". It matches the Rfam family "Eukaryotic large subunit ribosomal RNA", at positions 83 to 927 of the family's 3401-position model. The record is from RNAcentral. Lineage: Eukaryota; Fungi; Ascomycota; Sordariomycetes; Hypocreales; Ophiocordycipitaceae.